GACAGAGUGAGACUCCGUCUCAAAAAAAAAAAAAAAAAAAAAAAAAAAAAUGAAUUAGGUUUUGUGAAACUUAAAUUUGAAGCACAUGUUAGAUAACCAAGUAGAAAUGUCAAGUGUGUAGGAGAAUAUAGAAAUACUGAAGUAACUAGCAUCUAGAUGGCAUUUGAAGCUACAGGAUUAUAUUACCUGUGACAGGAAGUAUGUGAUUUAUUAAUUUAGUGCAAGUGUAGGCUAGCUGGCUCAUUUUGAAUUAAGAUGAGAGGAAAUAGCUUUACUUUGUGGAACCAAUGGAGAGAAACGUGUAUCAGCUCUAUGAGCAUGACUACUGGGCAUCAGCCAUGUUGAGUGCUGGACUUCAGAAAAUGAAGAUCGGGACAGCAGAGGACCAAGAAGCCAGUGAUGUUCACUAAGCAGGCACCAGCCUUCCCUCCAUUUCAAUGUUUGGAUGUUGUAGUUACAUAAAUUUCUGGCCAUAUUGACUCAACCACAGAAUUCUGAAAAGGAUGCCGAUGAAUAGAGUUUUGAAUUGGAUUGGGAAUCCAAAUCAAAAAUACAAGAAAUCCGCUUGUGAAUUGAAUUUACCUGACAGUGUCAACACUAAGUUGUCUGCUAGGAAAGAGUUUGGAACUCAUAUUCAGUUUGUAGAAAUAAAUACAAUCAUAGCUUGUGCCUAUCCAAAACUUUAAUGUUGCAAUGGUAUGCCUGUUAUGCAGCGAGGGAGGAUACAGAGUUAGAGACGAGAUGCAUAGUACACAGCCCCAUGCCACUGGGUUCACUUCAUCAUUAGAUUUUGUUGGAGAAAGAGACUGAGAUGCUGGUGAAACAGGGAGGAGGGGAGCCAGGAGAGCACAGGAUGAGAGAAGCCCAUCAAAGAAAGUGUUUCAGCUGAGAGAUGCUGCUGAAGAGGCAGACAAGAUGCAGGCAGAGCGAUGGAGAUCAGCGAGGGCCCAGGGAGGCGCAGGGACUGGAGCUGAGGGCACAGACACCCUUAGGAUAGGUUGAAAAGCAAAGGACAAGUCAAGAGACACAAAAUAAUCAGCAACAAUAUUCUUAACGCUUGAGGGGAUCACCAUCUGGGUAGUGAGGCAGGAUGAGCUACAUCAUAAUGACAUAAAUCAUAAAACUGACAUGAUGACUACCAAGGCCACCUGUUGACACAGAAGACCCAAAGGGAAAGCGAACUGGGACAGCCAGAAAGGGCUUCAAAAGAUGCUGUGUUCAUAUUUCGAAGAAACUAGGAAUAAGAUGAAUGGUGAGAGGAAGAAAGGGUGUUCCAGCCAAGAGAUUGGACCAACGUGGGCAGGCGGGAGAAAUCAAUACAAUUGAAGAGGCGAAAAUCAAAGGAACAAAGAGAUUUCUGGAGGCUGGCUUGGUAGGGUUGUAGGAUGAGGCUGUUGAUGUAAAAAAGAAAAACAAAACAAAAACAGAAACUAGAGGAAGUCAUUCUACAAAGCAGAACAAAUCCAAGUAUUUCCUGACACAAAAUUACCAUGGGGGGAGGGGGAGGGAAGUAGCCAUCUAGCAAAAUACAUUACACCCACUUUCUUUUAGCUUCAGGCACAGCCACCAGUACUUAUUUUCAGCCCCUUUUUAUAAAAAUUUAAAACCCCAUGUAAUUAUAUUCAUUCAUUUUAAACAUAACUCCUCAAAAUCUAGCUUUGUAAUUAAAAAAAAAUUUGACAUGGGGUUUGGAAUCGUGGUUAUAGAUGAGUUUGGUGACAAGUCAAACAUUUUGGAAAUGAGUUUCCACACAUCUGCUCAAGAACCUGUUGUUGCCCUUUGAGCAGAAUAU
Long non-coding RNA from Nomascus leucogenys (northern white-cheeked gibbon), 1792 nucleotides. RefSeq lists it as uncharacterized. The transcript has 3 exons. The record is from RefSeq and is a predicted model, not a curated record. Lineage: Eukaryota; Metazoa; Chordata; Mammalia; Primates; Hylobatidae.